RNA transcript from Columba livia (rock pigeon), 4357 nucleotides. It is a transcript of the gene named regulator of G protein signaling 22, with no coding region annotated. The record is from RefSeq and is a predicted model, not a curated record. NCBI's taxonomy places the organism in Eukaryota, Metazoa, Chordata, Aves, Columbiformes, Columbidae. The transcript has 28 exons.
CCAUAGCAACCUGCCGUGCUGCGGGCCACGCCGCAGAGCCAGCCUGCCCUGCCGCGCACCCGCUGUCCCCGGCCAGGCCCAGGACCUCCGCAGCUUCUAUUCUGGUCUGCAGUCAAGAUUUCACCUUGGCAAAUGAGGCCGUAAGCAUGCAGGUGUGGGUGCCGGCCCUGGCGUGUGUAGAUCCAGGAUGCAGUCGAAGCGGCUCACCACUGAGCCUCCAUGUAUAACAGAAGACGUGUUCGAAGAAUUCUUAGCCACAGAUGAUAUGCUUGUGGACUACUUUAACGAGUUUUUGAGUCUUCCGACUUUUGCCCAGCCGGUUAAAUUUAACUCUGACUUUGGGGUUUUUGAAGUAGUUAACGAUGCCACACAACGCCUGGAGAGCCAGCUGAAAAAUAUUCUACAUGAUCAGAAACCUCCAAAACCCAUUUAUGAUGUUCUAAGGAAAGCAGAGAAUGAUGGGCAGCUCUCCAAAAUGUGCAGUGCUUCUCCAGCCUUCAAUAUGGAUCCAAAUUACAACACUAUGUGUCUUGAUCGAGAACAAGCAAUUCAGUGGAUUAAGAAAGAAAGGCUUCCAGCAUUUCUAGAAAGCGACUGUUACUUUGAAUACAGGCUUGCUAAACUGAUAUCACAGGUAGAAUGGAGCAAGACUGGCAUUAAUUUCAUUAUCGAUAGUGACUACUAUCCCUGGAUAAGGAAGCAAAAGCCAAGUUCUCCCCCUCCUGAGGAGGAUGACACUUCUUUGACUAUGAAGAAGCUGCACGUGUCUCUUGGACAGGCUACAGUUUCUCAGACAAAGGAUUGGUUUACAUUAGCAAAACGAAGUGAAUCUGUGAAAACUACAGAUUCAUUUGUGCAUCCUGUAGCUUCUAGUGAAAUUCAAGAUAUGCAGUAUUUGCCUGAGCAGCAUGAAAGAGACGAUUCAUUAAGUGAGAAAUACAGCCUUCUGGAAGCAGGUUCCCUGUCUAAGGAAUGCCACCAACAGAGUUUCCUUUCCUCUUCAAGGACAGCAUCAGCAAAAGCCGACAUUACCAGGGAGAGAUCCAGAGAGGCUGAGGAGGAUUCUUCUGUGUCCAUUGCUGAAACUCCUUCCCACACUCAGCUAAGAGUUUAUCUAGACCCCAAAUGGGACAGUGCAGUACAAGAAGAAAAUGAACAGGAAAGCGCAACUUUUCAGACACCAGAAGAAUUAAUACCGAUUUAUACUCCAUUUGUAAUAAAGGAACCCAUUUCAGAACUGAUCCGUCAGGCAGCUGCUGACACUAAGAGUGAGGUGGAUUUCCAAAAACAGCCUGAAGAGUGUAUACAUGAGUUAGCAAAUAAUGAGUUUGCUCCUGGUACUGCAAAGUCACCCUUUUCUCAGAGUUCUUCUCCAUUGACUGCCUUGGAUUCCGAGGGAGAUGUAAGGGAACGAAAUACUGAAGAAGUAAGCUUAAGAUCAAGCUCUGAAAGUGAUGGGGCAGACAGUAGGGCUGCCUGGUGUAUUAGUCACAGGACUUAUGACACUGGCAACAGACAUGAGUUUGAAAGAUUCAAGAAGUUCGUUAAAGGAACACUUGGGGAGAGAUACUGGUGGCUCUGGAUGGAUAUUGAAAGACUAAAAGCUCUCAAGAACACUACAAGGCAGCAAAGGCAACUCAGUAAGAUGAAAAAACUCUAUCUGCUGAGCAGUGGAGACUAUUUCCUCAGUUCAGAAGUGUUACUCAGACUUGAUCUGCUGCAUGGUGAUCAGUGGAAUAUAAGGCAUUUAAGACGGAUUCAGCCUGAAGUAGUGAAACCUCUACUUCUUUACUGGGGUCCCAGAUUUUGUGUCACUCAUUCAACAGCAAUAGAAACUGCCAGUGCAAAACUGAAGCUCUGGCACAAAUGCCACGAGAGACCAAGGGUUGAUAUUGAUCCUUUUCCACAAAUGGUAUCAUUGCUACCAUUGACACCUAAGUCUUGCAUACCUAGGAUACCACCUUCCUUUCCUCAGAGAAGUAGAACAAGCUCACCAACAACUUUAUCAAAACCAGCUACACCAGAUUUCUUUUUGAAUAAACCAUUAUCACCUACCUUGCCAUCAAGUCAGAGCCCCCUUCCUAGGAGUAGGAAGUGGCCGAAGUCAGCGAGCAGAGACACGAUUCAUUGCUUAGCUUUGGAUGACAGUGAAGACUCAAGAUACCAGCUUUAUAGAAAGUACACCUAUGCUGAGCUGCUCCCGGGGAAAAGAGCUGCUGGCAGUGUUGUCUUAGGGGGUUCAAGAAUGGAAAGCAUGCUGCAGUCUCUUUAUUUGGAGAACAGAGCAGGCUACUACUUCACACGUUUCUGUGAGAAGUCGGGGAAUAAGUUGUGGAAGAACAGCGCGUACUUUUGGUUUGACCUACACGCUUAUCAUCAGCUUUUCUACCAAGAAACUCUUCAUCCUUUUAAAAUAUGUGAGCAGGCUCAAUUUCUUUAUGCAACUUACAUUGCUCCAUCUGCCAGUAUGGACAUUGGACUUCAUCAGAGCAAGAAAAACACGAUUUAUCAGAAAAUUGACCCAGCUUUUGAGGAUCUAUUUGACCCAGCAGAAGAAUAUAUCCUCACUGUUCUGCUAGAACCGUGGAUGAAGAUGGUGGAAGCAGACAAAUACACUUAUGGAAAGGUGGAGUUGGUGGACGAAACUCAGCAGCUGGAUUCCUUGUACUUUAGAGAGCUCCAGGCUUUGCAUCAAGAGAGUGGUUCCAAGAAGGAUGAGAAUAUUGUUGCUGACACUGUUUUGCCAUCCUGCUCUGAUUCUCUCAAAGAAGAUCAGCCAUUGCGUCAAGUUCCCGAAGAAUCCGCAGGUCCUAAUCUAUCUGACCUGAUCCAUGACAAAGAGAAGUUAGAACAGUUCUGGGCUUUUCUUAAUGAGCAUUCUGCUGGCAUGGAUCUCAUGUGCUGGCUAGAUAUUGAACAGUUCAGAAAGAUGCUCCACAAGGACAAAGAGAAAAGGGAGGAAAAAUCUAAGGACAUUAAAAACAAGUACUUAAACAAAAAAUACUUCUUUGGACCCAACAGCCCAGCUACUAAAGAACAACAAGAACAGCUAAUACGUUCAGGUGGAGGAUGGGGACAAAUCCUUCACGAUCGACUUUCGGCAGCAGUUCUGCUAGAAAUUCAGCAAUGCGUCCAGAAGAGAUUAGAAAAACAAUGGCUGCCAUUGUUCCUUGCAGAUGAGCACCAUGGGGCGGAGGGACAAGCAAAGAUAAGGGACACAACUGAGGAUCUUCCACGCCAAAAACAGGAGAAGACAACUAGGAUGUGGAAGCAUGUGGACAAUAAGUGGGUUUCUUCAUCUGGUGAAAUAAUUGCUUUCCGCAAAGCGUUGUUGAAUCCAGUGACAGCAAAUGAGUUUCAGCGCUUCGUGUCACUGAAAGGAGACCUACUGGAGAACGGAGUGCUCUUUUGGCAAGAGGUACAGAAGUAUAAGGACUUGUGCCAUUCUCAUUGUGAUGAUGCCACAGUCCAGAAAAAGAUCACAGCUAUUAUCGACUGCUUUAUUAAUUCUGCCAUACCCCCAGCUUUGCAGAUUGACAUCCCAGCUGAACAAGCAAAGAAGAUUUUGGAGCACAGGAAAGAACUAGGACCUUACAUUUUUAGGGAGGCACAGAUGACUAUUUUUGCUCUCCUGUUUAAAUUUUGGCCCAAAUUUUGUAAGUUUCGAAGCAAUUUGGCUGGUGACAACAUUCUACUUGCCUUGGAGAGAAAAAAGGGAAAAAAGAUGCAAAAGAAGGCAGGCAAAACAGAAGAGGAACGGCUCACAAAGUUUCAGGGUAAAGAAGUGGGGACAAAACUCACCGGUGCUUUGGUAGGUGAGUUUGGUGUGGAGAGAGGAGCAGCAUCAUUUUCAGAUGGAUAUGGACAGCAGGAUUCCUGGUCCUAUUCCAAAUACUUAGAAGCCUUGGCGCAGGAGAGAGUACUCCUUAAAAUGCAAGAAGAUCUGGAGGAAACCUCAUCGUCAUUCCUUACAGGUUCUUCAUCUCUGUCCUUUGGAAAAUCCAAAAAAUCCAUCAUUUCUCCCAAGAGCAGUGUGAUUUUGGAGAAACGCUAAAAUCUUGCUAAGAAACAGAAAGCAGAUUAAAAUCUCUCUGAGGAAGGGAAUGCAGAGACAUAUAAUGGAAGUGGGCAGGAGACACAGAGAUAACGUACAUGCAAGCUCACUCCUCUCAGAGGAGCACCCGGAGCCAAGAGCUGCCCAGAGCAAGGAUGGGGCCAAAUGUGGCGCCUCCUGUUUGAAGGAGGCUUCCCCACUUCACAGCCACUGUUUUACACCCACAGGUAAGUUGGUCUGUCAUUUUCUGUGAGAAUUAAUUCCUUGAAUGACAUUAUAGCUGUAUGAACAGUAGCAGUUGGC